CCCGGUGACCAUAGGUUCCUGGUCAUACCCGUUCCCAUCCCGAACACGGUCGUCAAGCAGGAACCGCCGAUGAUAUUGCAUACGCGAGAAAGUAGGUCGUCGCCGGGG
This 108-nucleotide ribosomal RNA is filed under the name Planctomycetota bacterium. The record is from RNAcentral. Lineage: Bacteria; Pseudomonadati; Planctomycetota.